CCUACGGGAGGCAGCAGUGGGGAAUAUUGGACAAUGGGCGAAAGCCUGAUCCUGCCAUGCCGCGUGUGUGAAGAAGGCCUUCGGGUUGUAAAGCACUUUCAGUGGGGAAGAAAGCCUUGGGGCUAAUACCCUCGAGGAAGGACAUCACCCACAGAAGAAGCACCGGCUAACUCCGUGCCAGCAGCCGCGGUAAUACGGAGGGUGCGAGCGUUAAUCGGAAUUACUGGGCGUAAAGCGCGCGUAGGCGGUCUGAUAAGCCGGUUGUGAAAGCCCCGGGCUCAACCUGGGAACGGCAUCCGGAACUGUCAGGCUAGAGUGCAGGAGAGGAAGGUAGAAUUCCCGGUGUAGCGGUGAAAUGCGUAGAGAUCGGGAGGAAUACCAGUGGCGAAGGCGGCCUUCUGGACUGACACUGACGCUGAGGUGCGAAAGCGUGGGUAGCAAACAGGAUUAGAUACCCCGGUAGUC
Molecule: ribosomal RNA, 465 nt
Filed under: Vreelandella stevensii
Lineage: Bacteria; Pseudomonadati; Pseudomonadota; Gammaproteobacteria; Oceanospirillales; Halomonadaceae
Description: partial 16S ribosomal RNA
Rfam family: Bacterial small subunit ribosomal RNA
Source: RNAcentral